Long non-coding RNA from Triticum aestivum (bread wheat), 848 nucleotides. RefSeq lists it as uncharacterized. The record is from RefSeq and is a predicted model, not a curated record. The transcript is spliced from 3 exons. Lineage: Eukaryota; Viridiplantae; Streptophyta; Magnoliopsida; Poales; Poaceae.
CAACGCGGCCCAACGUGUUCGUGGCCCAGACCGGCCAGAGAGAAAAUCGGCCGGGCCCGUCCCCUUCCUCCGCCGCCCCCGCCGCACUGCCCGGCGGAUGCUGCCGCUCCGGUGGACCAUAUUCCCACUUCUGAUGGAUUCCGGUCGUCCCUGCGCUCCUGUGGCACCCCCUCCCCCCUGCCGUCUCCGGUAGCUCACUGCCGGCAGCGGCCACCGCAUCGAUAGGUUUGAUUCGCAGGUACUCCAAUCAACUACAGAUUUGUGGAUCCUCCUACUAAUCAACUACUCGUGCAAGGAUUCUGAGCGCUCGGAGGCGAGGCGAAGAGCCUGAGUCUACUGAGCUCAGAGGAAUAAUCCAGAGGGGGCGCACCAUUGGCACGGUAAAAUUAACUCAAGAUAAGCAGCUUCAGAUUGUACUGCUUGGAAAAGAUACAGGUGUUCAUUCCUGGUCUAAGCUGAUGUAUGUGCUCAUGCUGCGGCAGCCAGAUCACCUGCAACACUGAACCCUGGAGGGGCAUUGGGCAGCAACGUGAAGGUUAAUCUGGAGUCGAGAGCACUAUGGGACGAAUCAUGGGGGGCAGCGAGCUGAGCUGGUCAGCGGCAGCGGCAGCUGCGGCGAAGCAGCUCGAGGAUUGGAGGUCAACAAUGGCGGCAACUGCGAGGGGGGCAGAAUGUCUCGUGCAGUACUUUUUGUGGUUGGGAUGUAGUCAUUUCUUUUUCAACCCAUCUAGUAUCUCGAUUACAAGUUGUCAUGUAAGCCAAGCUUUUUGAAAGUGAAAGGUUGGGAGGAAUAGAGCUCAUCAAGGCACCAAAAGAAAGCAUGUUGUACAUCACCAUUUGGCAGACCA